Molecule: non-coding RNA, 100 nt
Organism: Paramuricea clavata
Lineage: Eukaryota; Metazoa; Cnidaria; Anthozoa; Malacalcyonacea; Plexauridae
Source: the annotation of a GenBank genome assembly
AGACCGGACGCGAUUUGGCAGCGCGACGCGAAUUUUCAAUUUUCAUGAAAACUGAAAAAAACUGAAAAAUCGCGUCGCAUUGUCGAGUCGCGUCCGGUGU